This 26-nucleotide non-coding RNA is filed under the name Homo sapiens (human). Lineage: Eukaryota; Metazoa; Chordata; Mammalia; Primates; Hominidae. The record is from RNAcentral.
UGCAUACUGGAGAAAGACCCUAUAAA